AUUGAACGCUGGCGGCAUGCUUUACACAUGCAAGUCGAACGGCAGCGCGGGCUUCGGCCUGGCGGCGAGUGGCGAACGGGUGAGUAAUGCAUCGGAACGUGCCCAGUAGUGGGGGAUAGCCCGGCGAAAGCCGGAUUAAUACCGCAUACGACCUGAGGGUGAAAGCGGGGGACCGAAAGGCCUCGCGCUAUUGGAGCGGCCGAUGUCGGAUUAGCUAGUUGGUGGGGUAAAGGCUUACCAAGGCGACGAUCCGUAGCUGGUCUGAGAGGACGACCAGCCACACUGGGACUGAGACACGGCCCAGACUCCUACGGGAGGCAGCAGUGGGGAAUUUUGGACAAUGGGGGCAACCCUGAUCCAGCCAUGCCGCGUGCGGGAAGAAGGCCUUCGGGUUGUAAACCGCUUUUGUUCGGGAAGAAAUCCUCUGGGCUAAUACCCCGUGGGGAUGACGGUACCGGAAGAAUAAGCACCGGCUAACUACGUG
RNAcentral lists this ribosomal RNA (484 nucleotides) under uncultured bacterium. Its description in RNAcentral is "partial 16S ribosomal RNA". It matches the Rfam family "Bacterial small subunit ribosomal RNA", at positions 28 to 507 of the family's 1533-position model. The record is from RNAcentral.